This 497-nucleotide ribosomal RNA is filed under the name uncultured bacterium. RNAcentral describes it as "partial 16S ribosomal RNA". It matches the Rfam family "Bacterial small subunit ribosomal RNA", at positions 28 to 507 of the family's 1533-position model. The record is from RNAcentral.
GAUGAACGCUGGCGGCGUGCCUAAUACAUGCAAGUCGAGCGAACAGACGAGGAGCUUGCUCCUCUGACGUUAGCGGCGGACGGGUGAGUAACACGUGGAUAACCUACCUAUAAGACUGGGAUAACUUCGGGAAACCGGAGCUAAUACCGGAUAAUAUAUUGAACCGCAUGGUUCAAUAGUGAAAGACGGUUUUGCUGUCACUUAUAGAUGGAUCCGCGCCGCAUUAGCUAGUUGGUAAGGUAACGGCUUACCAAGGCGACGAUGCGUAGCCGACCUGAGAGCGUGAUCGGCCACACUGGAACUGAGACACGGUCCAGACUCCGACGGGAGGCAGCAGUAGGGAAUCUUCCGCAAUGGGCGAAAGCCUGACGGAGCAACGCCGCGUGAAUGAUGAAGGUCUUCGGAUCGGAAAACUCUGUUAUUAGGGAAGAACAAAUGUGUAAGUAACUAUGCACGUCUUGACGGUACCUAAUCAGAAAGCCACGGCUAACUACGUG